CCCUGCUUGGGGCCGUGCUAAGCUGCUCACAGAACACACUAAAAACAAACCUUGGGAUCUUCUAUUAAUAUCUGAGAAUUGGCUCUCUGCAGCUGCUCCAGCCUCACAGCCUGUGAUGAUAGAAAACCUCAAGGAUUGUCAGCGGACGCCUACUACAUAUUCACAUGUUUCAUACUGUAUAUUCUUGUGUAUAUUUUUUGAACUCAUUUCCUUAUCCCCAGAAUCCGGACGGUCCACGGGGAUUCGAAAAUGGAUACCGCUACUGACAGGAGGCUCUCACAUGCUUUGUAUUCAUUAUUUAUUCUCCCAGACA
Molecule: small RNA, 313 nt
Filed under: Histoplasma capsulatum
Lineage: Eukaryota; Fungi; Ascomycota; Eurotiomycetes; Onygenales; Ajellomycetaceae
Also listed under: 1 other name
Description: hypothetical RNA
Source: RNAcentral